GUUGUUUACCAGGAGUUACAGCGGAAGUAGGCGCCAUCUUGUUAUGGCGAAUGCCUCUCCCGCUCUGCCGCUCUCCACAGGACAUGACAGGCCUGACAUCUGGUGGCUGCUAUCACAAGAACGCUCUGAAUCCAUAAAGAACACACAUGUCUGACAAGCCAUUCACUGAAGCUCCAUUCACUGUCUGGCUUUCAUCAGGGUCUCUCCUUGGCACUGAGUUCAGAAAGAGCACAAAGGAUUCCAGGACUCUGGGCUGGUCUGAAGGCAGACUCAGGUGGCCAUGACAAGCUACAUCGAGGAGAACCCAGGAGGCCUGGAUUCUCAAACUAUCCCUACUCCCAAGAAGCCAGACUCAGCUUCCUUACCUGCUGAACACAGAUGAUCCCACCUCCCCAGCCCCUGCCUCCCCGAUUGGACAAGUCGCAGUGUGAAAGUGCUUGAUCACCUGCUCUCAAGUUAUUCAAGCAUGAUGCAGUGUUUUGCAAGGACCACACUUUAGUCUUUCUCAUAGAAAGCAGUUGAGAGAUGAAGAGCUUUGAAAACUGUGGGGUAGCAUGGGUAAGCACUCCAGACACUCCACAAGAUAGAUGUGUAAUGAAUACAUAUAUAACAA
This is a long non-coding RNA of Mastomys coucha (southern multimammate mouse), 613 nucleotides long. RefSeq lists it as uncharacterized. NCBI's taxonomy places the organism in Eukaryota, Metazoa, Chordata, Mammalia, Rodentia, Muridae. The record is from RefSeq and is a predicted model, not a curated record. The transcript is spliced from 3 exons.